RNAcentral lists this ribosomal RNA (320 nucleotides) under uncultured eukaryote. RNAcentral describes it as "partial 18S ribosomal RNA". It matches the Rfam family "Eukaryotic small subunit ribosomal RNA", at positions 1470 to 1796 of the family's 1831-position model. The record is from RNAcentral.
CCCUUAGAUGUUCUGGGCUGCACGCGUGCUACAAUGGCGCUUGCAACAAGUCUUGCCAACCCGAUAGGGUGAGCGGAUCUUUGAAGAGGCGUCGUGAUCGGGACAGUUGAUUGCAAUUAUUAGACUCGAACGAGGAAUUCCUUGUAAUCGCGAUUCAUCAUAUCGCGCUGAAUACGUCCCUGCCCUUUGUACACACCGCCCGUCGCUCCUACCGAUUGAGCGAUCCGGUGAAUGUUUUGGACUGGCGUCAGAAGCGGUUCGCUCCUGACACUACGAAAUUUUGUAAACCUUAUCGCUUAGAGGAAGGAAAAGUCGUAACA